This 1149-nucleotide ribosomal RNA is filed under the name Sandal spike phytoplasma. Its description in RNAcentral is "bacterial SSU rRNA". It matches the Rfam family "Bacterial small subunit ribosomal RNA", at positions 61 to 1214 of the family's 1533-position model. The record is from RNAcentral. Lineage: Bacteria; Bacillati; Mycoplasmatota; Mollicutes; Acholeplasmatales; Acholeplasmataceae.
GUCGAACGGAAGUUUAAGCAAUUAAACUCUAGUGGCGAACGGGUGAGUAACGCGUAAGCAAUCUGCCCCUAAGACGAGGAUAACAGUUGGAAACGACUGCUAAGACUGGAUAGGAGACAAGAAGGCAUCUUCUUGUUUUUAAAAGACCUAGCAAUAGGUAUGCUUAGGGAGGAGCUUGCGUCACAUUAGUUAGUUGGUGGGGCAAAGGCCUACCAAGACUAUGAUGUGUAGCCGGGCUGAGAGGUUGAACGGCCACAUUGGGACUGAGACACGGCCCAAACUCCUACGGGAGGCAGCAGUAGGAAAUUUUCGGCAAUGGAGGAAACUCUGACCGAGCAACGCCGCGUGAACGAUGAAGUAUUUCGGUACGUAAAGUUCUUUUAUUAGGGAAGAAUAAAUGAUGGAAAAAUCAUUCUGACGGUACCUAAUGAAUAAGCCCCGGCAAACUAUGUGCCAGCAGCCGCGGUAAUACAUAGGGGGCAAGCGUUAUCCGGAAUUAUUGGGCGUAAAGGGUGCGUAGGCGGUUAAAUAAGUUUAUGGUCUAAGUGCAAUGCUCAACAUUGUGAUGCUAUAAAAACUGUUUAGCUAGAGUAAGAUAGAGGCAAGUGGAAUUCCAUGUGUAGCGGUAAAAUGCGUAAAUAUAUGGAGGAACACCAGUAGCGAAGGCGGCUUGCUGGGUCUUUACUGACGCUGAGGCACGAAAGCGUGGGGAGCAAACAGGAUUAGAUACCCUGGUAGUCCACGCCGUAAACGAUGAGUACUAAACGUUGGGUAAAACCAGUGUUGAAGUUAACACAUUAAGUACUCCGCCUGAGUAGUACGUACGCAAGUAUGAAACUUAAAGGAAUUGACGGGACUCCGCACAAGCGGUGGAUCAUGUUGUUUAAUUCGAAGGUACCCGAAAAACCUCACCAGGUCUUGACAUGCUUCUGCAAAGCUGUAGAAACACAGUGGAGGUUAUCAGUUGCACAGGUGGUGCAUGGUUGUCGUCAGCUCGUGUCGUGAGAUGUUGGGUUAAGUCCCGCAACGAGCGCAACCCUUAUUGUUAGUUACCAGCACGUAAUGGUGGGGACUUUAGCAAGACUGCCAGUGAUAAAUUGGAGGAAGGUGGGGACGACGUCAAAUCAUCAUGCCCCUUAUGACCUGGGC